UCUAGAACUCGAGAUAAGGGCUAAACACUAAACAGUGUCUGGGCUGCAGGACAGAUUUUGACUUAGAAUUAGAACUUGAAAACGGUCCUUUUGAAUCUUGGACUCUUCAUGAAAGUUUUAGGCCUAUGCCUUAGCUUUUUAUC
This is a non-coding RNA of Populus trichocarpa (black cottonwood), 143 nucleotides long. NCBI's taxonomy places the organism in Eukaryota, Viridiplantae, Streptophyta, Magnoliopsida, Malpighiales, Salicaceae. The record is from Rfam.